GCCUAACCUAACAUGCAAUUAAAACACCAAUUGCUCGCCAAAUAACUACGAGUAAAAACUUAAAAUUUAAAAGACUUGACGGUACUUCACACCACCCUAGAGGAGCCUGUCUAAUAACCGAUAUUCCACGAUUAACCCAACCCAUCCUAGCCCAAUCAGUCUAUAUACCGCCAUCGCCAGCUCACCUUGUAAAAGAAACAUAGCGAGCCUAAAAGCACCACCACUAAUACGAUAGGUCGAGGUGUAACUAAUGGGUGGGAAUCAGAUGGGCUACAUUUUCUAGAAUAGAAAAUACGAAUAGACUAUGAAAGUAGAAACCGAAGGAGGAUUUAGUAGUAUGUUAAGGACAAAAUGCUUAACCGAAAUAAACGCAAUGAAGUGCGUACACACCGCCCGUCAUCCCUGCCAACACCCAAUAAAUCUCUAUAAACUAACAUAAACUACCAAACAGGGCAAGUCGUAACAUGGUAAGCGUACUGGAAAGUGCGCUUAGAAA
RNAcentral lists this ribosomal RNA (496 nucleotides) under Rhabdophis nuchalis (Hubei keelback). RNAcentral's name for it is "partial 12S ribosomal RNA". It matches the Rfam family "Bacterial small subunit ribosomal RNA", at positions 834 to 1522 of the family's 1533-position model. The record is from RNAcentral. Lineage: Eukaryota; Metazoa; Chordata; Lepidosauria; Squamata; Natricidae.